RNAcentral lists this ribosomal RNA (468 nucleotides) under uncultured bacterium. RNAcentral's name for it is "partial 16S ribosomal RNA". It matches the Rfam family "Bacterial small subunit ribosomal RNA", at positions 28 to 507 of the family's 1533-position model. The record is from RNAcentral.
GACGAACGCUGGCGGCGUGCUUAACACAUGCAAGUCGAACGGAAAGGCCCUGCUUUUGUGGGGUGCUCGAGUGGCGAAGGGGUAAGUAACACGUGAGUAACCUGCCCUUGACUUUGGGAUAACCUCAGGAAACUUGGGCCAAUCCCGGAUAGGAGCUCCUGCCGCUUGGUGGGGGUGGGAAAGUUUCGGUGGUUGGGGAUGUACGCGCGGCUCAUCAGCUUGUUGGUGGGGUAGUGGCUUACCAAGGCUUUGACGGGUAGCCGACCUGAGAGGGUGACCGGCCACAUUAGGACUGAGAUGCGGCCCAGACUCCUACGGGAGGCAGCGGUGGGGAAUGGUGCACAGUGGGCGGAGGCCUGAUGCAGCAACGCCGCGUGCGGUAAGACGGCCUUCGGGUAGGAAACCGCUUUCGCCUGUGACGAGGCGUGAGUGACGGUAAUGGGUGAAGAAGCACCGGCUAACUACGUG